UUGACCAUAUCACGGUGAAACACCGAUUCCCGUAUGAUCACUGAAGUUAAGCAUAGUCCUUCCUGGCCAGUACCUAGAUGGGUAACCGCUUGGGAAUAUCAUGUGCUGUAA
This is a non-coding RNA of Acanthosepion pharaonis, 111 nucleotides long. NCBI's taxonomy places the organism in Eukaryota, Metazoa, Mollusca, Cephalopoda, Sepiida, Sepiidae. The record is from the annotation of a GenBank genome assembly.